UAAAAAACCUGUGGCUGGAGAUAACCACUAUAGCAUUUGGGUGUAUAUUGUUCCAGGUUUUUUUUUGGGGGGGGGGGGGUUGGCAUUGGUUUAUAAAAGAUGAUUCUAUUUAACCUUUUUUAACUAUUUCCAUGUCAAAUUUUGUUAAACUUCUAGGAAAGAUUGUAUAGUAUACUUGUCAGCAAUUCUAAAAUCCAUUCCAGUUUCUGCCAUGUUAAAAUGGUGGGGACGGGAUCGUCCACCAUAGAAAUUGACGGCAUAUGACAGUUUAAUUAGCAAAUUUUUCUUCUCAGAACAUAAAGUAAUGGUGUGUCCUAAAACUGGUGGAAUCUUAGAUUCCAUGAAAUUGAGUGUUUUAUUAUAUAGAUUAUGAUAUAAUCAGGUCCUUCCUGAAGGACAUUUAGGGCCUCUCUCCAUUUUAAUCUGUGGUGUGAUCAAUCGUUUAUCCCACUUAAUGAUAUUUAUACUGUUCUUUGGUCUACAGUGCUAGGAGUUGGAGUUACUUAUUCAAAUUUUGCUGAAUAUUACUGCCCAACUGCCUCCAGAUAGGAGCCAGCUAACAUUCCUGGUGUGAGCACCAGUUUCUCUGAUUAAUACUGGCUUGAUUUUUCUCUUGAUUUUGCUAGUUUGAUAAGUGAAAAACGGUAUUUAACUUUCAUUUCUUUGAUUACAGGUAAUUUUUUUUUUCAUGUUUCUUGGGCAAUGGAGUUUGCUCAGUCCAUUUUUCUUUAGUGUAUGUGUUUUGCAAACGUUUUAAUUACUGGAGAUUUAUUCUAAUUAAUCUAGGUUGUGAUGUAACGAUCUAACUUCUUUCCACUGACAGCCAAAUUGACUGAAUUGCUAUCUGUUAUUAGUGGAAAGAAGAGACCUUUCCUCAUCUCUUAUUCUAGAGAAGUGAUUUAUUUCAGAGUUCACUUAUAAGCCUUUCAUAGUGGAUAAUGUGAAUGUCCAGGAGUUCUGCAGGUUAGGAAAAGAAAAAUGGGUCUCUUUGGAGGGUUUAGCUGCAAUAUUGGAACAGAUCACAACUGUAUCAGAUGAAGGAAAAAGCCUAGUGAGUGGAGAAAAACCAAGAAUCAAACAUAAAGAGAUUGACUAGAAUAGAAUGUGCCUAGCUUGGCUUGUCUUUCACUGGCCUCAGGGCAUUGGUGAAUUGCAGCUGUGGGCUAUUAAUGGCAGCUGAGAAAUUAGGACAGAAUGGAAGGGAAAAGUCAGUAAAAGGGAAAGAACUAGCUAACACUAGUUCGACUUUAUUGCCAAAAAGAAUGGUAGAGGUCCAGGAAGUAGAAUCUCUGACUUUUGGCAAGGAGGGCCCUUUCGAGGAGCAAUUUAAGAGAAGGAUCUCUACACAAGAAUUAGUGGUGGAGAUUCCCAUGAAUGCACUAAGAGAACUUGGACUCUAUUUGUAGUAGUUAGGUCUCAGAGAAUUAAGGAAUUUGGUGUGUUUCAAAAGAGUAGAGAUUUUUGGGUUGGCUUUGCGAAUGUACAGGAGUGAGGAUUAAGAUCAAAGCUAAUUUUCCUGAGUAAUGAAAACUGGGUAUAUGAAUAUACAUGAGCCCCACCUAGUCCUGGUUAAAGGAGGCAACCUGAUUUGGUAUUUUGACUGCAUCUGCAGGAUAAGGGGAUUGUGAAGACUACUACCUGGCAAGGUUGGAACAGUUACCGGUCCUCUUGUUUGUGAAAAGGUUACUUUAUCUGGUAGAGUGAGCAGCCAAAGGCAUGGUCAAAGAGGGCUUUUUAAAAAAACCACUGCUACAUGUAUUAUAUAGCAAUGUCGUUAGUGAACAGUUGUGUAGAGUGUUGGGAAUGAAGAACAAACUCAGUAGCCCCGGUAAAGAGGAAGCAGGCACAAUGAGACUGGCUUCUGGAAUUGAAGGAACAAGGUGAAAGCAGUAGCAGAUGAUGGUUCUUUUUAUCGAUAGCCUACUAUGAACCAGGUGUGCUGGGGAAGCAAAUUACCAUCAUUCUUGCCUUCAAGUUAUUUAGUCCAGUAGAGAAAGUAAAUGGUAUGGACAUCAUAAUUACGAAAGCAUUGAGGGAAUGAGAGCUCUGUGGUCUUAGAAGGAUCCUCUAGGAGUCAAGGAAUUUUCUUUUAAAUUUUUUUUUUUUUUUGUAUUUUUUAGGAAAACAAAUGCAAUAUCCUCUUGGGAAAGGAAAAGCGCCUAGGGGGUAAUGAGAUGGGAGCUGGGUGUUGGGUCCAAGCGGGGAGGGGAUGAAUGACUAAGAAUGGGUACCAGGCAAUCAGAAAAUCAGAGAUAGGUAAAGCAGGAAUUGUAAAAGAAGUUGCCUCCCAUUGUCAAGAGGUGAUAGGUUAACCAGCUUCUGAGGGGGUGGCCUUGUUGUAUGACUCAUUGUAAACAACAGGGACCACAUCGUGGGUAUAGACAAACCAACUCUGAAACUGCUGAGAUGCAAGGAACGAUGUGCAAGGGUGCUCCUCAACACCUAAAUAGAAUAGAGAUGGAAAGAAGGAUCUGCUUUUCAAAGAAAGCCUGAGGAAACUAUAUUAUAUCUGGAAUGGCAGGAAGCCUAGAUAAACAUGAAUAAGCAAAUAUUCAGGAGUUCAAUUUCUAGAGCUCUGAGGGACAUCUGGUAAACCACCGCUGUCUUGGUGCCAGUGUUUGGGUUGGGGUCAAGGUCCAGGGCUUAACAGGGAUUUAAGAAAAAGGUUCUUGGACUUUCAUCUUGUUAUUUUGGGAAGGGUACUAUUAGCAUUUUAAAAGACUUCCCUACCAUCUUGCAGAAGGGCCUGUAGUGAAGGGAUAGAGGCAGUGAUGGGAUAGGGGAAGGGGCCACAGCUUUAAAUGAGUAAAACAUGUAUCAUGUUCCAAGUUCAUGCUGGGAAAAAGAGAAGUAUCUUCUGGGCUCAACUUCAGCUGUCUGAGGACCAGCUCAGUCUUCCUGAGGAAGGAAAACAGGAUGCCUUGGAGAGAAGGGGAUGACACGAGUUUAAGUAACCUUGGUGGUUUGGGUCUUAGACCCCAAGACAGCCCUCAUUCUGAAGGCAACAGCUGCUGCAGCAGAAGGAAGAGGAAACAAGGUGUCAGCCUUUGGGCCACUACUUUCCAAGACACUGGAUUUCAGAGAAGGGAAGCUGUUGGCCCAGGUUCUUUACAGCGGCUUUGUUUAACUCUCCACCAUCAAGCUACUCUUGAUUCACUGAAAUAGAGUGAAGACAAAAUAAAAUAGGAAAAAGGUACAUUUGUGUAGGUAUUUGAAGAAGUCCUGGCUAUUGUGGGAGGCCUUUUAUAUUGGUGUUCACCAGCGUUUUUUAUGUCCUCAUCUGUAAAAUUGGGUUGAUCUGUUUUGAAAAUUCAUAUUCUUUAUAUUCUGUCAUUUAGAUCUGUGCCCUCCAAUACAGUAGCCACUAGCCAAGUGUGACUAAUUACAAUCAAAAUCCAAUUCCUCAGUCAUACUACUACACACAUUACAAAGUGGUCAGUAGCCAAUGUGGUUCAUGUCUACUGCACUGAACAGUGAAGAACUAUAGAAAACAUUUCUAUCUUAGUUCUGUUGGGUGCUACUGACCUAGGUAUAUGACCUGUUAUAGAGCUACUUUAUGAAUAGUUGUACAUGAACCUGUCCCCUGGACUGUUAGUGAUUGCUAGUAAGAGCCUUGGUUUCUACUUUAUCCUUUCCCUUUACUGGCCAACAUAGCCAAGAAAGUUGUAGGAACUCAGAUUGUAGAUGCACAUGGUGUACAGGUGACCCUUGAACAACAUAGAUUUGAACUGUGUGGGUCUAUUUAGGUGGAUUUUCUUCAGUGAAUAUAAUAGAGUACUAAAGGAAUACUUAAGUACUAUACAUAAGGAAUAUGAUUUUCUUAACAUUUUCUCUAGCUUUAUUGUAUGAAUACAGUAUAUAAUACAUAUACAAAAUAUGUCAUCAGUAAGAGUGGUCAAAAGGCCAACAGUAGUUAACUUUUUGAGAAGUCAAAAAGAUAUGCUGAUUUAAGCCUGUGCCCCUAACCCUCACAUUGUUCAAUGGUUAACUAUGAUCCUAAGGCUCUGGAGAAGGCAAGUUGAGGUAUCUGGGCUACAGCCAAUUCUCAGUCCCCAAGAUUUCACCCCGAGCUGCCUGUCUGCCCUCUAGUUGCAAACAUGCCUGAUGGCAGCACCCAGAGGUGAUGACUGGGGAGGUGGGGGACACUGCAGGCUUCACCACUCAGAGCAUGAGGGAGCUGCACCCCAUCUUUAACCGAUCCAGAGUCAGCUUCUUGUCACAGGAGAAGGUGAGUGGGUGAAGGGAACUUGAAGGGAAAACAGAAAGACAGAUGUGCUGAGGCUCCAAUUCUUCCAGAGAGUCAGUUACAGGAUCCUCAUGUGAAGGGAGAUACUCUAUGUUAGAGGGUAAGUAUCCCUCAUGUGUGGGAAGGUAGUCCACUGAGAGGACUGUCAAGGGGCUGGUUAGGUGUUCUGGCUUUGAGUCAGGGCCCCUGCUCCCCAGCAUCUUGUACAGAUCCACUAGUUGUCCUGUCUCUGCUAUGAGAGCUUUUGGAGGUGGUAGGCUUGGGGCACUAUAUGCUGCGUCUUCCUCAGAGGUAUAGUGACCUUGGACUCCUCGUCCCUUGUCUGGCCAGUUGGGGUGAUGGGGAUGUCUGAAGACUGGGGUCACUUGAAGGACUUCAUUGAUGACCAGGAGUUCAGGUUCUUCAGGAUUGGACCAGUCUGUCAGGAGCCUGUCCGAGGGUAGCUGUGUCUUCUGAGAAAGGGGAAGAAGAGGCUCAUACAUUAUGUAAGUAGCCCUUGACAACUGACUUCUCCAGGGUUCUGAAAGGCCUUGCUGCCUGCACUGCCUAGUUGGCUUGAGAAGGGACACUGUGGGCCCUUGACUUUGUGACAGGUUUGAAGACGUUAACAUUGAGGAAGACAGGAGCCAUGAACUCCUCAAACCCACCACCCACCCCUCAAGCCAAUGAGUGACUCACUACCCAGCUCAACCUUCAACCAGACUGAUGAGUCCAACUGCACUAGCUCUUUAUCUAGGAUAGAGGGCAGGGUGGGUGCAAAGGAAGGCUGAGCUUGCUCCUGUCUGGGGCAGGCAGCAGGGAAGACUUUCAGAGUCACACUAGAGCUGAAUCUUAAAAGAUACUUCCCAGGUAUGGAGGUAAUGGGCAAGGACUGAUCUGCUCUGGAACCUGCUAGUUCUUUUGAUAGGCAAACUGAGGCUAGGAUAGGAAAUCUGAGGUCACGUGAUGAAUUUUUUUUAGGGUUUUUAGGGUUGUUAAUGAGUAUGGGCUUUGAUGAAAGGUUGAGGGUAAUACUCUAUCAGUUCUGCUCUUAAGAACCCAGAGUAACUUUUGGAAAAAUGUUCAUUCUUUUUUCCUGCAUGGCUAAUUUUGUCUGUCUUCUGUCUUCUCUUUGUCAGCAUCACAUCAGUUAUCAGCUCUUCAGUGUCCUCUCCUUUCCAAACUAACUGCGGAUUCCUGAGUCCAAGCCCAAGCACUUUGAUAACAUUUCUCUUUCUAGGCUUUAUUGGGCUCUACCUACACCCUAAAAACUAUCACACUGAUAAUUCUAAAGCAGAGUUCCAAAGCCUUUAUCAAUUCAGACUCACAACUGCAGUGAAGCCACUAGCCCUUAGUUUGGUAGUCAGGUUCCUGCACCUUCCUCUACCUCUCCAAGUUUCCAUUCAGAAACGAUUUCAGGUACACCUCAGUGUGCUUCCACUGCUAGCCUCCACCCUGCUCUGUUUGCUGCACCAUUUCCUGCUUGAUGCUCUUCCUCCCUCAUGAAGCCACGACUGAUUGUUUCCUACCCUGGACUCCUAGAGCAGCAAAGAAACCACCAUCAGGUUCUUGGCACAUGAUGAUUUAUACUGUCACUUUUUUUUUUAAACAUGUUCAUAAACCAUCUACAAAUGGGGAUCAUUCAUGAGAGAAGUAGGAUGACAAAAAAUACCCUUGGGACAGGAAAAACCUGAGGACUAGUCUCAACUCUGAUACUCUACAGCUUGGGGAAACUCCAUCAACCUCUGGCCUUUGGUUCCCUCAUCUGUCAAAUGCCAAGUUGUGUAAGAGUGGUUUGGUUUGGAUUGGCCUCUGAUGUCUGCUGCUUUCCUUGAGCACGGCAAGCAUCCAACAAAUGAAUGGUGGUGCUGUCUCAGGACAGCCUUCUGUAAAGGACACUGACAAACUAGAGCAUUUCUUCUAGGUUUCUAUGGGCCCUUCAUAGGCCCUGCAUGCCUCUGUAUCUCCUCAUGCCCAGGCAGAGGCAAACAGAGACCAUGAUGCCAAAGCUGCAAGUUUGGGAGCCAGGUGUCCGGGACUGACCCAGAGAGAUGCUUCCCACUGUGCUAUUUCAGGCUCUUAGGACAUGGGACUGUGGAAUCUCAGCAUUGGAAGAGAGAGAUCUUAAAGCUCAGCUGAUUCAGCUUCUGGUACCUGAAUCCCCUCUGACACCAGCAACGGCAUCCUUAUCGAGUGCAUGCCCAUAGGUCAUCAGAAGAUUGCAACCAAAUGCAUUGCACACUUAAUAGACUGCAGUGUAGUAUAAACAUAACUUUAUAUGUACUGGGAAACCUAAAAAUUCAUUUGAUUUUAUUGCAAUACUUGCUUUGCUGCUGUGGUUCAAAACCAAACCUGCAAUAAAUCUGAAGUAUACCUGUAUAUAUGUAUAUAUAAACAUGAAUAUAUUAAAUAAUACAAUUGUAUCAUGUAUAUGACAUGAUGUAAAAAAUAUAUAAUUAAAUAUAA
This is a long non-coding RNA of Canis lupus familiaris (dog), 6691 nucleotides long. RefSeq lists it as uncharacterized. The transcript has 2 exons. The record is from RefSeq and is a predicted model, not a curated record. NCBI's taxonomy places the organism in Eukaryota, Metazoa, Chordata, Mammalia, Carnivora, Canidae.